UCUAAGUAUAACCUGCCAGACAGGGAAACUGCGUACGGCUCAUUACACCAGCCUUAAUUUACUUGACCUUGACAACCUACUUGGAUAACUGUGGUAAUUCUAGAGCUAAUACAUGCACCAAAGCUCCGAUCCUCGCGGAGAGGAGCGCAUUUGUUCGCCACAAAACCAAGCGCCCAUCUGGGCGUCCAGUGCUGAACCAGAACUACUCAGCUGAUCGCACGGUCUUGUACCGGCGACGUGUCUUUCAAGUGUCUGCCUUAUCAACUUUCGAUGGUAGUGUACCUGACUACCAUGGUUGUGACGGGUAACGGAGGAUAAGGGUUCGACUCCGGAGAAGGGGCCUGAGAAAUGGCCACUACGUCUAAGGAUGGCAGCAGGCGCGCAAAUUACCCACUCUCAACGCGAGGAGGUAGUGACGAG
RNAcentral lists this ribosomal RNA (420 nucleotides) under unidentified nematode Sourhope farm. Its description in RNAcentral is "SSU rRNA". It matches the Rfam family "Eukaryotic small subunit ribosomal RNA", at positions 58 to 474 of the family's 1831-position model. Lineage: Eukaryota; Metazoa; Nematoda. The record is from RNAcentral.